CUUCCGUAGGUGAACCUGCGGAAGGAUCAUUGGGACCGAGUUUUCGGGCUUCGGCUCGACUCUCCCACCCUUUGUGAACGUACCUCUGUUGCUUUGGCGGCUCCGGCCGCCAAAGGACCUCCAAACUCCAGUCAGUAAACGCAGACGUCUGAUAAACAAGUUAAUAAACUAAAACUUUCAACAACGGAUCUCUUGGUUCUGGCAUCGAUGAAGAACGCAGCGAAAUGCGAUAAGUAAUGUGAAUUGCAGAAUUCAGUGAAUCAUCGAAUCUUUGAACGCACAUUGCGCCCCUUGGUAUUCCGGGGGGCAUGCCUGUUCGAGCGUCAUUACAACCCUCAAGCUCUGCUUGGAAUUGGGCACCGUCCUCACUGCGGACGCGCCUCAAAGACCUCGGCGGUGGCUGUUCAGCCCUCAAGCGUAGUAGAAUACACCUCGCUUUGGAGCGGUUGGCGUCGCCCGCCGGACGAACCUUCUGAACUUUUCUCAAGGUUGACCUCGGAUCAGGUAGGGAUACCCGCUGAACUUAAGCAUAUCAAAGGCCCGGAGGAA
Molecule: ribosomal RNA, 549 nt
Filed under: Lasiodiplodia theobromae
Lineage: Eukaryota; Fungi; Ascomycota; Dothideomycetes; Botryosphaeriales; Botryosphaeriaceae
Description: eukaryotic LSU rRNA
Rfam family: 5.8S ribosomal RNA (bases 173-326)
Source: RNAcentral